RNAcentral lists this ribosomal RNA (289 nucleotides) under Bacillus pumilus. RNAcentral describes it as "partial 16S ribosomal RNA". It matches the Rfam family "Bacterial small subunit ribosomal RNA", at positions 982 to 1272 of the family's 1533-position model. Lineage: Bacteria; Bacillati; Bacillota; Bacilli; Caryophanales; Bacillaceae. The record is from RNAcentral.
UGACAUCCUCUGACAACCCUAGAGAUAGGGCUUUCCCUUCGGGGACAGAGUGACAGGUGGUGCAUGGUUGUCGUCAGCUCGUGUCGUGAGAUGUUGGGUUAAGUCCCGCAACGAGCGCAACCCUUGAUCUUAGUUGCCAGCAUUCAGUUGGGCACUCUAAGGUGACUGCCGGUGACAAACCGGAGGAAGGUGGGGAUGACGUCAAAUCAUCAUGCCCCUUAUGACCUGGGCUACACACGUGCUACAAUGGACAGAACAAAGGGCUGCGAGACCGCAAGGUUUAGCCAAU